UACGUAGGGGGCAAGCGUUGUCCGGAAUCACUGGGCGUAAAGCGCACGUAGGCGGAUUGCUAAGUCAGGGGUGAAAUCCUGGAGCUCAACUCCAGAACUGCCUUUGAUACUGGCGAUCUUGAGUCCGGGAGAGGUGAGUGGAACUGCGAGUGUAGAGGUGAAAUUCGUAGAUAUUCGCAAGAACACCAGUGGCGAAGGCGGCUCACUGGCCCGAUACUGACGCUGAGGUGCGAAAGCGUGGGGAGCAAACAGG
RNAcentral lists this ribosomal RNA (253 nucleotides) under uncultured bacterium. RNAcentral's name for it is "partial 16S ribosomal RNA". It matches the Rfam family "Bacterial small subunit ribosomal RNA", at positions 524 to 776 of the family's 1533-position model. The record is from RNAcentral.